CACUUCUAUGGUGACCACGCCAGUGCACUAUUUGAAUACUGGAAAAGUUAGAACUUUCCUGUUCUUGGAAGCUCAGCAGGUGAUGUGGUCACCCAAAAAUGCAAUGCCAGUAAGACCUGGGCAGCAGUUGUACAGAGGUUAGUUUCUGCCCCCAUCCACCAGAGCAAGGAAACUGAAGUAGCACCAAGGGUGGCAGAAUUGGACGCCGCAGUCGCAUACUCUGCCCUCUCGACACGUGCAAGUGCAUACAUCAGACCCUCGGUGAUUGCUGCGGCUCAGCGACCAGCAAACAGGCAUUCUGUGUGUGUGUGCGCUACAAGGUGCAAAAGGUUGUGCCCGCCAAUGUGCCACCCCUCGCCUGCUGGUAAACAGGGCCCAGAUUCUAGCUGUAAGGUACUCAAGGCUCACAGCAUGGUGCAGUUACCAGAGAUGGCAGCUGCAGAGCAUUGCUGCAUGGCAUGUGAAGUGAUCCUCCAGUGAGAAGCUAAAAAACUUGGAGAGAGAGCAGUGAAAUAGCACCAGCCAACUUUUUCGAACCUCGCACAACAGAUCAGGCUGAACAAAACUGCGCAAGUUCACAGGUUUGCCAAGUUGCACUGAAGAAUGAAGAAACGGGUGUCACUUCAGCACGACAUGCCACCAAAAAGCAUCAGGCGGUCGUCCUCUGACACUGCGUGGAGUGCUCAGCAGUGUACAGCAAGCACAUGCUUCGUGCAAAGAGUGGGCCAGCAUCAUUUCUACACCAGCAAGAACAUAAAUGCUGAAAAUAAGCAUUUCCUUCCAAAAUGUGCGGUUGUCUUUAUAGUGUAAGGUUGAAUUAAGCUUUAUUUGCUUCCUCAUUUA
Molecule: long non-coding RNA, 843 nt
Organism: Dermacentor andersoni
Lineage: Eukaryota; Metazoa; Arthropoda; Arachnida; Ixodida; Ixodidae
Source: RefSeq, a predicted model, not a curated record